UAUGACAAACUCAUUCCAGUACGAAAGGACAGAACGAGUAAGGCCAAUACCCCAAGCAUGCCUCCGCCCAAAGAUAUGAACCCAACUAAACAUCCUAGGGCUAACCCUUUAUAUCCUCCUAGAAAAGGACC
This 131-nucleotide ribosomal RNA is filed under the name Sayornis phoebe (Eastern phoebe). RNAcentral describes it as "partial 16S ribosomal RNA". Lineage: Eukaryota; Metazoa; Chordata; Aves; Passeriformes; Tyrannidae. The record is from RNAcentral.